GACGUAGGGCGCAAGCGUUGUCCGGAUUUAUUGGGCGUAAAGGGCUCGUAGGCGGUUUGUCGCGUCGGGAGUGAAAACCCAGGGCUUAACCCUGGGCUGGCUUCCGAUACGGGCAGACUAGAGGUAUGCAGGGGAGAACGGAAUUCCUGGUGUAGCGGUGAAAUGCGCAGAUAUCAGGAGGAACACCGGUGGCGAAGGCGGUUCUCUGGGCAUUACCUGACGCUGAGGAGCGAAAGUGUGGGGAGCGAACAGG
This 253-nucleotide ribosomal RNA is filed under the name uncultured bacterium. RNAcentral describes it as "partial 16S ribosomal RNA". It matches the Rfam family "Bacterial small subunit ribosomal RNA", at positions 524 to 776 of the family's 1533-position model. The record is from RNAcentral.